This 1563-nucleotide unclassified non-coding RNA is filed under the name Cyanidioschyzon merolae strain 10D. RNAcentral's name for it is "hypothetical transcript". Lineage: Eukaryota; Rhodophyta; Bangiophyceae; Cyanidiales; Cyanidiaceae. The record is from RNAcentral.
AAGUGAGGCGUCCUUGACGACCUGAGGCGGACGAUUCAGCGCAUUGCCUGCGCUACGAAAGCGUUGAGCUAUUUUGCGGGUUGCGGUAAACGUAGCAGUCUCAGCCGACUUGGAGGAUUCGGAGCCUUUUCAAGGGAGGAACGUGUUUCACAGGUCACUGUUCUUUGAGGAAACGUGACGAAUAGGACUGCGAGCUGGCUGGGGCGCACUGCUCCAAGGUUGCACGUACAAGGGGCGCGCUUCCUUCCUGGUUACCAGGGUGUGUGGUUUCGCGAAGCAGGUGUUUGCGAAGUGUUCUCCUCUGGGGCCGGGCGACUUGGACGCGCUCUCUCCGGAAACUGAUCGCGCAAGGCACGCAACUCUUGGAGCCCAAUAGGUCGCCAAGGGGCUCGGAAAGCGCGAAGCACGUCUUCCUUUGCGUAGACCUCGCCUUGGCUUGCUGGAACGGACUUGCUGGUCCAACGUCUAACCACACGACUCAGAGUUGCACGCGUAUAGUGCAGUUAUGGCGAAGAAGCGAAAGGCUUCCUCCUCUGUGAACUCAAAACGAGCCGGAGGACCAGCUGAGGCACAACGCUUGGUCAUCUACUACCCCACCGGGUAUCUUUCGUUCCCGUAUGAGUUGCACCAAGUGGUCCGCAGGGCACUCUGUGAGUUCGCUCUGCGGCGGACCCCUGUUAUCGAGACACGAGGAGGCAAACGGGUGCUCGAAACGACGCGAGGCGGUAUUCUUGAUCGUCUGUACCCAUGCGAUCAGUGGCAAAGUCGGCGUAUCUACUUUUGCGGUAGAGCCUGGCUGGAGAAGGCCGGCAUUGACUGGGUCCAACAAGUUCGCGACCUCGGUGGCAGCGUUCUUCUCCACUUGAGCAAUCCGUCUUUUGCAGUCUUUUCGCAGUGAGACUGCAAUGUGUGCCAGGAUACCGAUAGUCCGCUGCCGAUCUGGCAGCUGUUGGCCAUAGUACACGCGCCGGGAUCUCCGCAAAUCGCGACGCAGCUUGCGAUAAGAAUAACUGAAAACAAGUCCAUGUCUUCUCGUCGUAAGUGGUGAACGUUUGACGCAAAGAAGCGAACCGGAAAUUCCAUGCGGAUCCGGGUCCCAGUAUGUGCGCUUUCCCGCAGGAGAUCUUCAUCCCGUUGGUUUGGGGAACAGCUUGAGGUUCUGUGUGGAAGCAGGUUGCUGCGGGCGACCACAGCGCAUCCAUCCCGAUAAGCACGGGUCAGGAAUGAAUGCGGUGGCUGUCAAGCAGAUUUAAUACCGGAAAGGCGCUCUAGCUAGAUGUUUUUUUUGACUGGAGCAUGCGAGUGAAGAGCACGUCUCGAGUUUCUGUAGUAACCGCGGCGCUUCGAUCUGUUGUUGCCUACCAAUACGGGAAAGCUAAGACUGCUCGGCGUGGGAACACAGCACGGCACGGCGUUCUGUGCAAUGCCAAAGACGACAGCCGCUGCGAAGCGGACUCGAAUCGGAUCACCCGCUUCCCAACAGGAUAUCUUCUCUGCCUGCUUCUGUGACUGAUGCUGCCUCAAGAGGUCACCAAUCGAACUAGUUGACUCUUAAACAGAUAC